Molecule: ribosomal RNA, 468 nt
Filed under: uncultured bacterium
Lineage: Bacteria
Description: partial 16S ribosomal RNA
Rfam family: Bacterial small subunit ribosomal RNA
Source: RNAcentral
GGCGAACGCUGGCGGCGUGCUUAACACAUGCAAGUCGAACGGAAAGGCCCUGCUUUUGUGGGGUGCUCGUUUGGCGCACGGGUGAGUAACACGCGAGUAACCUGCCCUUGACAUUGGGAUAACUUCUGGAAAAUGGGGCGAAUACCGGAUAGGAUCUCCUGCUGCAUGGGGGGGGUUGGAAAGAUUCGGCGGUUGGGGAUGGACUCGCGGCUUAUCAGCUUGUUGGGGGGGUUGGGGCUUUCCAAGGGUUUGACGGGUAGCCGGCCUGAGAGGGUGACCGGCCACAUGGGGACUGAGGUACGGCCCAGACGCCUACGGGAGGCAGCGGUGGGGAAUAUUGCGCAAUGGGCGGAAGCCUGUUGCAGCAACGCCGCGUGCGGGAUGACGUCCUUCGGGUUGUAAACCGCUUUCGCCUGUGACGAAGCGUGAGUGACGGUAAUGAGUAAAGAAGCACCGGCUAACUACGUG